AUACGGAGGGUGCGAGCGUUAAUCGGAAUUACUGGGCGUAAAGGGCGCGUAGGUGGUUUGAUAAGUCAGAUGUGAAAUCCCUGGGCUUAACCUGGGAAUUGCAUUUGAUACUGUCAGACUAGAGUGUGGUAGAGGUAAGCGGAAUUCCCGGUGUAGCGGUGAAAUGCGUAGAUAUCGGGAAGAACAUCAGUGGCGAAGGCGGCUUACUGGAUCAACACUGACACUGAGGCGCGAAAGCGUGGGUAGCAAACAGAAUUAGAAACCCCAGUAGUCC
This 274-nucleotide ribosomal RNA is filed under the name uncultured bacterium. Its description in RNAcentral is "partial 16S ribosomal RNA". It matches the Rfam family "Bacterial small subunit ribosomal RNA", at positions 523 to 796 of the family's 1533-position model. The record is from RNAcentral.